GCUGAGGUAGUCUAGCGGGAAGGCGCGAGGCUGGAAACCUCGUGAGGCGUUUGUCUCUCGGGAGUUCAAAUCUCCCCCUCAGCG
RNAcentral lists this transfer RNA (84 nucleotides) under Methanocalculus taiwanensis. RNAcentral's name for it is "tRNA-Ser". It matches the Rfam family "tRNA". From Rfam's summary of the family: Transfer RNA (tRNA) molecules are approximately 80 nucleotides in length. Their secondary structure includes four short double-helical elements and three loops (D, anti-codon, and T loops). Further hydrogen bonds mediate the characteristic L-shaped molecular structure. tRNAs have two regions of fundamental functional importance: the anti-codon, which is responsible for specific mRNA codon recognition, and the 3' end, to which the tRNAs corresponding amino acid is attached (by aminoacyl-tRNA synthetases). tRNAs cope with the degeneracy of the genetic code in two manners: having more than one tRNA (with a specific anti-codon) for a particular amino acid; and 'wobble' base-pairing, i.e. permitting non-standard base-pairing at the 3rd anti-codon position. The record is from RNAcentral. Lineage: Archaea; Methanobacteriati; Methanobacteriota; Methanomicrobia; Methanomicrobiales; Methanocalculaceae.